AGGGCAGUGGCUCAAUUGGUAGAGCACCGGUCUCCAAAACCGGCGGUUGGGGGUUCUUGGGGGUUCGAGUCCCUCCUGCCCUGCCC
Molecule: transfer RNA, 86 nt
Filed under: Actinobacteria bacterium 21-73-9
Lineage: Bacteria; Bacillati; Actinomycetota
Description: tRNA-Trp
Rfam family: tRNA
About the family: Transfer RNA (tRNA) molecules are approximately 80 nucleotides in length. Their secondary structure includes four short double-helical elements and three loops (D, anti-codon, and T loops). Further hydrogen bonds mediate the characteristic L-shaped molecular structure. tRNAs have two regions of fundamental functional importance: the anti-codon, which is responsible for specific mRNA codon recognition, and the 3' end, to which the tRNAs corresponding amino acid is attached (by aminoacyl-tRNA synthetases). tRNAs cope with the degeneracy of the genetic code in two manners: having more than one tRNA (with a specific anti-codon) for a particular amino acid; and 'wobble' base-pairing, i.e. permitting non-standard base-pairing at the 3rd anti-codon position.
Source: RNAcentral